AGAGUUGUACGUUAAUGGCAAACAGCUACUCUUUAUUAACCUUCAGUACUAGCUAUCUAGGUUCGAAUCCUAGCAACUCUA
RNAcentral lists this transfer RNA (81 nucleotides) under Lactobacillus gasseri. Its description in RNAcentral is "tRNA-OTHER". It matches the Rfam family "tRNA". Rfam says of the family: Transfer RNA (tRNA) molecules are approximately 80 nucleotides in length. Their secondary structure includes four short double-helical elements and three loops (D, anti-codon, and T loops). Further hydrogen bonds mediate the characteristic L-shaped molecular structure. tRNAs have two regions of fundamental functional importance: the anti-codon, which is responsible for specific mRNA codon recognition, and the 3' end, to which the tRNAs corresponding amino acid is attached (by aminoacyl-tRNA synthetases). tRNAs cope with the degeneracy of the genetic code in two manners: having more than one tRNA (with a specific anti-codon) for a particular amino acid; and 'wobble' base-pairing, i.e. permitting non-standard base-pairing at the 3rd anti-codon position. The record is from RNAcentral. Lineage: Bacteria; Bacillati; Bacillota; Bacilli; Lactobacillales; Lactobacillaceae. RNAcentral also lists the same sequence under 2 other names.